Molecule: RNA transcript, 3618 nt
Organism: Salvia splendens (bonfire salvia)
Lineage: Eukaryota; Viridiplantae; Streptophyta; Magnoliopsida; Lamiales; Lamiaceae
Exons: 10
Source: RefSeq, a predicted model, not a curated record
UAAUUCUAGGGUGAGUAAUCAAUAAUGUGGGGCCCACCGACAGUGACUGGACAAGCGCGAGUACCAACGACGCACUAGAGAGACGGUGUGGACGCGCGCGUGGCUAAUCGACCACAGAUUUACGGGCUGGGUAAAGUCAGGGACCAUUAAUUAAAUCACGGGCAGUCCAUAACGCCGUCAUUCCAAGCCACUUACGCCGUCUCCUUCAAUUUUUAGGCAAUCGCUCCGAGCCAGCUUGGUUCGGAUACCACCAAUAUUUUGAAAAAGAAACACAGCUGACACCAAAGCCAAAAUACCAAAAACCACACCGAAAUAAUAAAGGAGGAGAAAGAAAGGCCGUAAAACAAAAUAAUUUUAGAAAUAGAGAGUGCCUGAUUGUCUUUUUCUAUAGAGAGAAACAGCUGGAGCUUGAAGGAAUCUCGGAAAAGAUGGGGCAGGUCGUGAAGAAAAAGAAGAAAGGGAGACCGGCGAAGGCAGAUCCCAAGCAGACGGAACGCGACCUGCGGCGGAGCCACCGCCGCCGCAGUGUGAAGUACGUCUUCGACCUAGACGACUACUUCGACGAGGACGAAGAGGACCAGCGGCGGAGGGAGAAGAACCUGAAGCACCUGCUCAAGCUCCAGAGUGGCGGCGAGCCGGAGCAGACUAAUCGCCGCACGCAGCAGCCGUCGUGCUCCUCCGACGUGAAGCCGUCGAAGAAGCGGAAAAUCGGCGAACAAAUGGAUGAGGAUGUGGAUGACAGAAAUGAAUAUAAUGAUGAGGACGAAGAAGAGGUUAGAGACUCAAGGCCACAACUCAAAGAAGAAGACUCACAACCAGGCUCGCCUUGUGAGCUGCCGCUGCCUGAUGAGAAGACAUUGGAGUUGAUUUUGGACAAGUUGCAGAGGAAAGAUAUUUAUGGUGUUUAUGCAGAACCGGUUGAUCCGGAAGAGCUUCCAGAUUACUUUGACAUGAUAGAUCAUCCAAUGGAUUUCGCUACUGUGAGGAACAAUCUACGAAACGGAUUAUAUGCAACUUUCAAGCAAUUUGAGAGUGAUGUUUUCCUCAUUUGUUCAAAUGCAAUGCAGUAUAAUGCACCGGAUACCAUAUAUCACAAACAGGCACGCACCAUCCAAGAGUUGGCAAAAAGGAAAUUUGACAAGAUAAGGCUUACUUUUGAACACAAUGACAAACCUGAGCAGAAAUCAAAAUCUGGCUCUCUUUCAAAAAAGCAAAUCAAAAGGCCUUUGAUCCGGACAGGGAAAGAACCUGUUGGCUCUGAUUUUUCAUCAGGAGCUACUCUUGCAACAGCUGGUGAUAUUCAGAAUGUUACCAGUGUUGUGUCUGAGAAAGCUGGUUGUAUAGAUCGGCUUGUUGAAGGAAGUUCUUUCUUUAAUGACAACAAUUUGGACAAACAGGAAGACUUGCUGUCGGGAAGGGCCCUCCCAUCUCGAUUUGGUAGGAGAUCAACAUUUGUACUAGAGGAAAAUUGCCAUGUGACAUAUAACAUAUCACAAGAUGAAUAUCGCCGUGCGACAUAUAACAUAUCAUUGUCUCAGCCCAUGAACUGCUCAGGAUCUAUAUUCUCAACGUUUGAUGGUGAAACCAAGCAUCUCAUGCCUGUAGGGCUUUAUUCUGAUCAUUCAUAUGCUAGAAGCCUGUCUCGAUUUGCUGCAACUCUUGGAUCUGUUGCCUGGAAAGUUGCUUCUAAAAGAAUUGAACAAGCACUACCUCAGGGAUUCAAAUUUGGUCAGGGUUGGGUCGGGGAGUAUGAAUCACUUCCAACUCCAGUAUUGAUGCUGGAAAACUGCAGUGUGAAGGAACCACCAUUUUUCAUGAAAGUACAGCCAGCUGUCGAACCUAGGAACUUUAACAAGGUGCCUUUAAUCUCGAAUGCUUCCAAGGAAAUCCCAGGUAAUAUUCCUUUCUUCGAACAAAAGCUGUCAUUUCUUGGUCCCGCUGGAAUCAGAUCACCGGCUCCUAUCAUCAUGGCUCAACCAAUCAGAGGGAGUAUAUCAGAGACAAAGCAGUCAUUCUUUCUGUCUCCUGGGAUUAGACCUAGUGGUUCUCAUAAUCUCAGCUACGUUAAUCAAAAUUCACAAUCCAGAAAUCUGCUUGAAUCUGACAAGAAGGCUCAGAAGCAGGUUCAGUCAAACAGUCCACGUGCACUAAGUAGAGCUGCCACCGGUUCUGUUGGCAGCAGGCAGUUGCCUAGGAGGUCGGAAGUGGAAGCUUCUAGGUUCGUUGAUUCCUCUCCAAAGAACAUGCAUUUUUUGCAAUCCGGAUCUUCUAAACAGCCUGAUCAUAAUAAUGGUGUUGCUUUUGGAGGAUUGCCUAAUGGAAGAGUCAACAGUAAUAAGGCUGAUGGUAAUACAGUGAUUAGUUCGUCCGGUGAGUCGACAAAACCACCUAGCUAUUAUCCCCACGAACAGGGUCAGGGUCUCAGCGACCCAGUUCAGUUGAUGAGAAUGUUGGCCAAUCACAAUCAACAAAAAUCCUGUAAUCAGUCAUCAGGCAAUGCUCCUCAAGUUUUAACAUCACAACCAUCCUUGGGUAGCAGCGGGUGGAACGGCAAUGAUCCAAAUAAUGCAGCUAUGGCUGCUGCACGUGUGUGGAUGUCUGUAGGGGCAGCAGGGCUAAGGCCAGUUACUGAAAAUGCUAACCCGAACAAGAACCACAUGUAUGGUGAUCCAGUCUACAACCCUUCUCGUAAUAUCCAGUCACAGAUCCGUGGAGAAUUUCCUUCUUCAGGAAUGCAAGUUCGGCCAGACAAGAACAGCGCUCCAAUGCACGCGUUUGUACCACAAGGGCCAGUACCAAUGCUAGUAGGGAACCAAAUACAGUUUCAGAACCAGCGAAUGAUGUUUCCUGCUGACUUAUCUCGGUUACAGCUGCAGUCUUCAUGGCACAAUGUGAACCCGCAAAUGCAUUCAAGACAGAAGCAGGAAUCCCUUCCUCCCGACUUGAACAUUGGUUUCCAAUCAUCGGGGUCACCAGGAAGGCCAUCUUCAGGUGUUCUUGUAGAUUCUCAGCAGCCUGAUUUGGCUCUCCAACUCUGAAAGCAACUGCAUUGUUAGUCUUGGUUUGCAACUCAGCACGCGCCUCUGAGAAAUUUUGUUUGGGAUCAUAUGUUGGGUGCAACAGAGCCCAUGUUCGACAUCUGGUGCGAUCCUUGGAGGGGAGGGGCAGGUAUUAUUUGCAAGGGAAAAUUAGCUAUGCUGAGAAAAAAAAAAAGAGAGGCAGGAUUCUGCUCAUGACAAAGUAAACAACACAGCAUAACCAAUUCAUUAGAGAGCUUUGGGCGUUGAAUGAGAAACAGAAAUGGAACAGUCCAAAAGAUGGCAUAUAUAAUUGCCAGGCUCUAGAAUAAUUUAUUUAAAUUUGGACAGCAAUUAGCAAAGAGAACUUCAAGCUUUCACUUGUUCUAAUUUCCUUUCAGAAUCACUCAGGGCCAAAAGCAUAAGAAGUGAGAGUACAUGCAUCUAGUGUGAUAACAUCUUCAUCUAUUUAACCUUACAAUCGAAUGUCUAAAAUACAUGUACUAUAGAACAUUACAUAUAUAGCUCCAAGUGAAGCUAUCAAUCACAGGAAGAAUUUGCAUAAUAUUAUGACAUUUCAUGGUUAAGAUUAAGUGCCUAA